This 346-nucleotide ribosomal RNA is filed under the name uncultured eukaryote. RNAcentral describes it as "bacterial SSU rRNA". It matches the Rfam family "Eukaryotic small subunit ribosomal RNA", at positions 594 to 945 of the family's 1831-position model. The record is from RNAcentral.
AUAGCGUAUAUUAAAGUUGUUGCAGUUAAAAAGCUCGUAGUUGAACUUCGAACGUGGCUGGGCGGUCCGCCUCACGGUGUGUACUGUCUGGCUGUGUUCUCUUUCUUGGUGAGCCGGCAUGCCCUUAAUUGGGUGUGUUGGGGAACCAGGACGUUUACCUUGAGAAAAUUAGAGUGUUCAAAGCAGGCCUACGCCCGGAUACAUUAGCAUGGCAUAAUAAAAUAGGACGUGUGGUUCUAUUUUGUUGGUUUCUAGGACCAUCGUAAUGAUUAAUAGGGAUAGUCGGGGGCAUCAGUAUUCAAUCGUCAGAGGUGAAAUUCUUGGAUCGAUUGAAGACUAACUACUG